Molecule: ribosomal RNA, 254 nt
Filed under: uncultured bacterium
Lineage: Bacteria
Description: partial 16S ribosomal RNA
Rfam family: Bacterial small subunit ribosomal RNA
Source: RNAcentral
UACGAAGGGGGCUAGCGUUGCUCGGAAUUAUUGGGCGUAAAGAGCUCGUAGGCGGUGUGUCACGUCGGCCGUGAAAACCUGCAGCUUAACUGUGGGCGUGCGGUCGAUACGGGCAUCACUGGAGUUCGGCAGGGGAGACUGGAAUUCCUGGUGUAGCGGUGAAAUGCGCAGAUAUCAGGAGGAACACCGGUGGCGAAGGCGGGUCUCUGGGCCGAUACUGACGCUGAGGAGCGAAAGCGUGGGGAGCAAACAGG